This 263-nucleotide small RNA is filed under the name Pan troglodytes (chimpanzee). RNAcentral's name for it is "retained intron". The record is from RNAcentral. Lineage: Eukaryota; Metazoa; Chordata; Mammalia; Primates; Hominidae.
GCCACGGCAGAGACAACGCGUGUACCCCAAGUGCACAUGGCUGACCACCCCUAAAAGCACCUGGCCCCGCUACAGCAAACCAGGUCUGUCCAUGCGGCUGCUGGAAUCAAAAAAAGGCCUCUCCUUCUUUGCGUUUGAGCACAGUGAGGAGUACCAGCAGGCUCAGCACAAGUUCCUGGUGGCCGUGGAGUCUAUGGAGCCGAACAACAUCGUGGUGCGUGGUCCCUGCAGCCCCUGACAGGAGCAGGGGCCGUGUAGCCACC